RNAcentral lists this non-coding RNA (24 nucleotides) under Arabidopsis thaliana (thale cress). The record is from RNAcentral. Lineage: Eukaryota; Viridiplantae; Streptophyta; Magnoliopsida; Brassicales; Brassicaceae.
CGCUAUGAUGAGUCUAUGGAUGAU